UCCGAAGGGGGCUAUCGUUGCUCGGAAUCACUGGGCGUAAAGCGCACGUAGGCGGACUCUUAAGUCGGGGGUGAAAUCCUGGAGCUCAACUCCAGAACUGCCUUCGAUACUGAGAGUCUUCGAGUUCGGGAGAGGUGAGUGGAACUGCGAGUGUAGAGGUGAAAUUCGUAGAUAUUCGCAAGAACACCAGUGGCGAAGGCGGCUCACUGGCCCGAUACUGACGCUGAGGUGCGAAAGCGUGGGGAGAAAACAGG
This 254-nucleotide ribosomal RNA is filed under the name uncultured bacterium. Its description in RNAcentral is "partial 16S ribosomal RNA". It matches the Rfam family "Bacterial small subunit ribosomal RNA", at positions 524 to 776 of the family's 1533-position model. The record is from RNAcentral.